RNAcentral lists this ribosomal RNA (584 nucleotides) under uncultured bacterium. Its description in RNAcentral is "bacterial SSU rRNA". It matches the Rfam family "Bacterial small subunit ribosomal RNA", at positions 1 to 523 of the family's 1533-position model. The record is from RNAcentral.
UAGAGUUUGAUCCUGGCUCAGAACGAACGCUGGCGGCGUGCCUAACACAUGCAAGUCGAACGGAGUUAGUUGGUAGCACUGAGCUAUCAGCCUUCAGCAAUGAGCAAAGAAAGGAUUGAGGUCUUUUAUUGCUUAAAGCUGUUAACUGACAGCUGAGCGCUAUCAGCUAACUUAGUGGCGGACGGGUGAGUAACACGUAGGUAACCUGCCCUGAAGCGGGGGACAACCCAGGGAAACUUGGGCUAAUACCGCAUAAGACCACGAUCUGGAAUGAUUGUGGUAAAAGCAGCAAUGCACUUCAGGAGGGGCCUGCGGCCUAUCAGGUAGUUGGUAAGGUAAUGGCUUACCAAGCCUAAGACGGGUAGCCGGACUGAGAGGUUGAACGGCCACACUGGAACUGAGACACGGUCCAGACUCCUACGGGAGGCAGCAGUGGGGAAUUUUGCGCAAUGGGCGAAAGCCUGACGCAGCGACGCCGCGUGGAGGAUGAAGGUCUUCGGAUUGUAAACUCCUUUUGUCGGGGAAGAUAAUGACGGUACCCGAUGAAUAAGCCACGGCUAACUCUGUGCCAGCAGCCCCGGUCA